AGUAAUAUGUCUGAAAAAGAUAUAUUUUGAUAAAAUAUUUAUGUAUAUAUUUAAAAUUAUACUAUUACUA
Molecule: transfer RNA, 70 nt
Filed under: Bombus lantschouensis
Lineage: Eukaryota; Metazoa; Arthropoda; Insecta; Hymenoptera; Apidae
Description: tRNA-Ile
Source: RNAcentral